UAUAAUCGAUGCCUUCUUCAAUUUUCUCCAAAGUUUUGCCUAAAGUUGUGCCCAGCUUAUUUUUAUUCAUUCGAUGAAAAUCGAGAACGGGAGGGAAGAGAAGAAGAACACAACAUAAUCUGUUUCUCUACUUCACCAAAGAACACAACAUGCAUGGCAUAAUUUAACGUUCUUCUCUUUUUUUCUUUUCUUUUAAUCUCGAGAUUUCUAGCAACAAGGGAUUAACCCGGCAACGCAACAAGUACCUUACCAGGUGAACAAUCUUUGAUACACGUUCGGGUAUUUUUAAUUUCUGCCUGGUCGAUUAGAUUUGUCGAAGUUUGAUUUUACCUAGAAAAAAUUAACCAAAAAUUAAUGUUUAAAAAUGCUCAAAAAUAUUAAACAUGUUCGGGAUAAAACAGUAAAAAUAUCCAUACCACUAAAAAAAGUAGGGAAGUAUCCGAAAAUACAUAAUAUUACCUAAGUAUCCAAAAUAGGGAAAUUGUCC
This 487-nucleotide long non-coding RNA is filed under the name Capsella rubella. RNAcentral describes it as "long non-coding RNA (CRUB_LNC002512)". Lineage: Eukaryota; Viridiplantae; Streptophyta; Magnoliopsida; Brassicales; Brassicaceae. The record is from RNAcentral.